AAAUAGACUGAGAUGAUUGCUACUUUUAGCGUAAGGCUAAUCGUAGAGGAAAGUCCGAACACCACAAAAAAAGGUAGUUGGUAACACCAACCGCUCCAAACGCAAGUUUGGCAGUAGGACAAGUGCAACAGAGAAUAUUCCUUCCCGCUUUGCGGGAUAAGGGUGAAAAUGUCGAAUAAUCAGUCGACACGUUUAUAUGGUGACAUAUAGAAAGAGGUAAACUUCUAUCUGGUGUAAGGCCAAAUAGAGCGGCGAAGGCCGCUGGGUAGGCUGCUUGAGGUUGUAAGCAAUUACAAUCCUAGAUAGAUGAUCAUCGUUUCAGUUUUACUGAAAUUACAGAAUUCGGCUUAUGAGGUCUAUUUAGAC
Molecule: RNase P RNA, 366 nt
Filed under: Candidatus Komeilibacteria bacterium RIFOXYC1_FULL_37_11
Lineage: Bacteria; Candidatus Komeiliibacteriota
Also listed under: 2 other names
Description: RNase P RNA component class A
Rfam family: Bacterial RNase P class A
About the family: Ribonuclease P (RNase P) is a ubiquitous endoribonuclease, found in archaea, bacteria and eukarya as well as chloroplasts and mitochondria. Its best characterised activity is the generation of mature 5'-ends of tRNAs by cleaving the 5'-leader elements of precursor-tRNAs. Cellular RNase Ps are ribonucleoproteins.
Source: RNAcentral